GGCGGUGGCGCCCAGGCACCAGUGAGCACCUGAGUGCCCUCCAGCUUGCCCCGGGCUAGGUGUUUGGCCUCUGAAAGACCCCUUGUUGGAGACAGCUGUCAGGCCCCGGAAACCCCGCUCGUCCAGCAGGCGCUGGCUUCCUGCGUCAGUCUCCUGUGAGGCCCGCUCCAUGGAGCUGUGGACAAGACGGAACGUUUCUCCGGAGGCAAGGCUGGGGUCUAGCACCAGGCCACGGCUAUCACCCUUCCUCAGGGCCAGGGCCACUUGUGAGCCCCCUUCCCUGCACCUCCGGGGUCUACUCCCCGUGCUGUCUCAGUGGAGGCGAGGCGGAUGGGCGGCUUGAAGGAGGCUGCCUCUGACAUCGAGUCACCAGCACCAGGCCUCAAAGCAAUGGAGCCAGCCAGCAAUGGACUGAAACCUCUGAAACCAUGAGCCUGAAUGAACCCUUUUCUCAUGCUGAGUUGAUGAUCUCAAGUAUUUUGUCACAGCAACAGCAAAAACAUCUGGCAUUUGGAAGACGCUGAAACGCUUCUUC
This is a long non-coding RNA of Heterocephalus glaber (naked mole-rat), 535 nucleotides long. The record is from Ensembl. Lineage: Eukaryota; Metazoa; Chordata; Mammalia; Rodentia; Bathyergidae.